UACGUAGGGGGCAAGCGUUGUCCGGAUUUAUUGGGCGUAAAGAGCGUGUAGGCGGCCAGGCAGGUCCGCUGUGAAAACUCGAGGCUCAACCUCGAGACGUCGGUUGAAACCGUCUGGCUAGAGUCCGGAAGAGGAGAGUGGAAUUCCCGGUGUAGCGGUGAAAUGCGCAGAUAUCGGGAAGAACACCCGUGGCGAAGGCGGCUCUCUGGGACGGUACUGACGCUGAGGCACGAAAGCGUGGGGAGCAAACAGG
This 253-nucleotide ribosomal RNA is filed under the name uncultured bacterium. Its description in RNAcentral is "partial 16S ribosomal RNA". It matches the Rfam family "Bacterial small subunit ribosomal RNA", at positions 524 to 776 of the family's 1533-position model. The record is from RNAcentral.